Molecule: long non-coding RNA, 3966 nt
Organism: Calidris pugnax (ruff)
Lineage: Eukaryota; Metazoa; Chordata; Aves; Charadriiformes; Scolopacidae
Exons: 3
Source: RefSeq, a predicted model, not a curated record
UUUUUUUUGUUUGUUUGCUUUUUUGUUUUUUGUUUUUUUUUUACUUGAACCAAAGUCUGAGCCCAGCAGCCCGCGGAGGCGGCGGGUCCGAGCGGAGGAUUUGUUGGAAAGCAAGAGUCAGUUGUUAACAACCGCUUAGGAAGACAAGAUGACAGGAAGAUAAAGGGAGAAUGCUCCAGGAGCUGAAAGAUGGAGGCCUUGAUCCAUUCUGAGAGCAGUGCUUUCUGCUAGAGAGGCUGAAGAUGUGUGCCGUGAGACAGAGACCUGCUGAGGCAAACUUCGAUAUUUCGCCUUUCCACACUGUGAGUGCUGGACAACUUGCCCAACACUACAGCCUUUCAUGGGGUGAUGAAGGUGCCUCAGUCAAAAAGAGUCCUCAGUGUUUUGUUGUCUUCUGGAAAUAAAGGGAAAACUCUGAGAAGUCUGCCUUUUUCAUCAAUAACUUGUGAAAGUCCUUUGUGUGAUUGAUUCCAUUCUGAAAGAGUUCAAGACCCGCAGAGAGCGCCCACCAGAGCUCCAGGAGCACUAGAGUGCUGGCUGGCACAGCAAAGAUACAAGGGUGGGGGAACAACCAUUACAAGCAUUAGCAGCAUUUUCACUGCACGGUAUUUUGUUCUUUUGUCAGUUAUUUUACCUUGUUUAAUUCAUGGAGAAGAAGACGGGAAAUGAUAAUGAGGGCUAAGGACAAUAGGACUGUCUUGAGACACCUAAUACCACUCUCAGUGGGCAGAUAGAUGAUAUUAAAGGAGGAAUAAAAAUUACAUAUUUCAAAGCAACUCUAAACUUCAGCGAAUUGGAGAACCUUUCUGUUACAUUUGUGGGCGUAGUCUCAUCUGCAAGGUAUUUAAAUGCCUAGUACCCCUUUAGCACAUAACUUCUGCUCAUUUAGCUAUUAAAGUUGUUUUGUUGAUUUUAGUCUUUAACCUUCAGCCUAAUUGACAGAAAUAGAAUACCAUGGGCAUCUUUGCAAUGUAAAAGGGUAAAGUGUCUGAAAGUAAGUUUCUCUCUUUCCUACCACCUCCAGUAUAAACCCUUUCUAAAUGAUCUGUGCACUUUCAUAUUUCAACUUUCUUACUUACGCUGCAUGAUAGAUGGAACUGCUAACUUUAAAAUUAGUCAUCCUAAUGUGCAAAGCACUGGAAAAAGAUGGAUGUUUUGAACAUAACAGGCUUUGCAUUAAACUCCAGCACAGAUUAGAUGAAUUGUGGAAUUAUGCCUAAUACUCUUAAGGGGUUUUAGUGAUCAAACACGCAGUAGACCCAAGCUGACAUUAGGUCUGACACAUCUAAGGUAUACAUAACAGAGAUCCAGGGCCUUACAGAUUUAUAGCCAAACUCUUACAAUGUAAAAAUGUUGACUGAAAAUACUCAUGUUUUUCUAUAGUCAGCAGUAUCUCCAGUGGCAUUUCUGGACAGUUCUGAGACUGUUCUGUGCCUUCAUAGUCCACAUACAGCAUGGCAUACAUCCCUGCUGCCAUACCGUGUAGUUCUCUUACACUGUAAGUAGACUAGACUGUCACUUGCUUAUUGUUGAUGUACUAAAAGUAUUUCUGCCUUCACCAUAGGACAUUGACAUGAAGUCUUCUGUGAUAAAUUAUGAACUUAAAUAAAUAUAUAAUAUUAUAUAUAAUAGGAGAUUUAAAACAAUUUGGUUUAUGGACCAAGAUAAGGAAAGGUACCUAAAGCCCAUGGCGUCUCAGACAGAUAAACUCCUGCCUGAAGGUUCCUGCCUCUGUCCAGGAGUUAGUUAAACACUAGUCAGUUAAAGUUAAGUGAGAUUAAUCUCAUCCAUGGCAUGGAGGGCAGCUACAGCACAGCUUCAGAUCCCUCAAGUUGGGAAGUGUUCCUCAUGCUUGCAGAAGAAUCUGAGACCUUUGGUUGCUGUCAGAAGUCAUUGGGAAUAGUUCAAUACAGUUCAGUACAGUAAGUCGUGAAAAAGCUGGUAAGUUUGAGUUUCAAACAAAUUAACUUUAAGCCAGGAACUGGGUGUGAUUUUUCACAGCAAAGGAUGAAAUUAUACAACCAUUUUAACUAGCAGUUAGGCUGCAUGAAACAAUAGUUUUGUUUGGCAUUACAGACUAUGAAUUUGUGCGGUUUAGAUGUUUCUAAACAGUUUUAUUACAUUCUACAACCUUAUUAUGUAAGGAGAAACAAUUGAAGAGACAAAUAUGCAUUGGGUUUAUACAGCAAGGUUUUGGUAGUGGGGGGCUAAAGGUGUUGCGUCUGUGAGAAGACAUCAGAAGCUGCUCCUAUGUCAGACACAGCCAGAUCCAGCUGAUCCACGAUGGACUUGCCAUUGUCCAAGGCCAAGCCAAUCAGUAACAGUGGAAGCACCUCCGUGAUAACAUAUAUAAGAAAGGAAAAAACUGCCGUGCAAAAGCAGGUGAGAGAGAAGAAUGUGAGAGAAACAACUCUACAGACACCAAGGCUUGUGAAGAAGGCCCUCCUUCAGCAGGUGCUCCAGGCACCAGAGCAGAGAUUCCCCUGCUGUCUGUGGAGAGGACUAUGGUGACACAGAUUAUUCCUUGCAGACCAUGGGGAUCCAUUGUGGAGCAGAUCCACCUGCAAUAUGUAAAGGACCCCAUGCUGGAGCAGGUGAAUGUGUCCUAAACAAAGCUGAGACUCAUGAAGAGCCCAUGCUGGAACCUCUGGCAGGAUCUGCAGCCCAUGGAGAGAAGCUCAAACAGGAGCAAGUUUACUGGCAGACCUGUGACCCAGUGGGGGACCCUCGCUGGGGCAGUCUGUUCCUGAAGGACAGCACCCAGUGGAAAUGAUCCGUGCCAGAGCCAUUUUGGAAGAACUACAGCCCCGUGGGAAGGAAACAAGUUUGUGAAGGACUGUAUCCCACGGAUGAGACCCCAUGAUGGAGCAGGAGAGGUGUGUGAGGAGGAAAGAGGAACAGAGAUGAAGCGUUACAAACUGACUGCGACUGAUCCAAUUUCUCAUCCCACUGCAUCGUUUAAGGAGGUAGAAGAGUUGGGAGUGAAGUUGAGUCUGGGAAUAAAGGAAGAGUGGGGAGAAGGUGGAUUUUUUUCAAUUUGUUCUUAUUUCUCAUUAAUCUACUCUGCUUAACUUGCAAUAAAUUAAAUUAUUUUUUUCCAAAGUCCAGUCCGUUUUCCCUGUGACAGUAAUUGGUAAGUGAUCUCCCUGUCCUUGUCUCGACCUGUGAGUUCUUCAUUGCAUUUUCUCCUCUGUACUGUUGAGGAGCAGGCAUGGUAGAGUGCCUUGGUGGGCAACUGGCAACAGGCCAAGGUCAACCCACCACAAAAUAAUAAAGAAAUUGUUUCCUGAACCCGAGACUGGGCAAAAUAGAUGUCAGACAGGAGACAGAUAACUAACUUAUAGGGGAUGGGAACAAAGUCCCCAAAAUGCCAAGGUCCCAUCUAUGCACAAGGAUACAUCAGUGUAAUUAGAUGUGUGAUGAAAUUGUUUAGUUAACAAUAUGAAUCUGAUGAAACCAGUUUUAAACUUGCAUAACAUUGUCUGUACUUAAGAUACACUAGUUUAACUAAUUUAAAAGUGCAGACAAUCCAGUACAAUGUGAUGGCGCAGCUGACGAAUUUCAGAUGAAUGUAAAACCAUCUUUAAACAGUGGUUUUCCUGGUAAAUUUCAUGAGAAGUUGUUCAGUCAAAGAUGUCUGUGUUUAUUUCUUUUUUUUUUUUUUGUAUUUUAAACCAUCUCACUCUUCAUUCACUCUUCAUUACUUGUAUAUUCACCUGGAGUACUCUAUGAGUUCUGAUUAUUCAGUCCGUGUGAACCAGGAUAGACGUGACUGUAACAUCUGAAUAAAGAAAUUGGAACAUCUGAAUUAGGCUUCCCCCUUGCAGGAACACUUGUCAGUGACUGAACUGAUCCAUUUUCCCUGUGAACUGGUGCAAUAAGGAAUUUUAAACAUAUGCCACUGCAGUGCAUUUCAAAUGCUGUUAUUUCAACAACUUUAUGUAGAAGCCUCAAAUGUAUUUAACU